This 396-nucleotide ribosomal RNA is filed under the name uncultured bacterium. RNAcentral's name for it is "partial 16S ribosomal RNA". It matches the Rfam family "Bacterial small subunit ribosomal RNA", at positions 523 to 918 of the family's 1533-position model. The record is from RNAcentral.
CUACGUAUGGUGCAAGCGUUAUCCGGAUUUACUGGGUGUAAAGGGUGCGUAGGCGGAGAUGCAAGUCAGGAGUGAAAUCUAGGGGCUCAACCCCUAAACUGCUUUUGAAACUGUAUCCCUUGAGUAUCGGAGAGGCAGGCGGAAUUCCUUAGGUAGCGGGGAAAUGCGUAGAUAUUAGGAGGAACACCAGUGGCGAAGGCGGCCUGCUGGACGACAACUGACGCUGAGGCGCGAAAGCGUGGGGAGCAAACAGGAUUAGAUACCCUGGUAGUCCACGCUGUAAACGAUGAAUACUAGGUGUGGGGGGACUGACCCCCUCCGUGCCGCAGUUAACACAAUAAGUAUUCCACCUGGGGAGUACGAUCGCAAGAUUGAAACUUAAAGGAAUUGGCGGGG